RNAcentral lists this ribosomal RNA (1349 nucleotides) under metagenome. RNAcentral describes it as "bacterial SSU rRNA". It matches the Rfam family "Bacterial small subunit ribosomal RNA". The record is from RNAcentral.
GUUUGAUCAUGGCUCAGAUUGAACGCUGGCGGCAGGCCUAACACAUGCAAGUCGAACGGUAACAGGAAGCAGCUUGCUGCUUCGCUGACGAGUGGCGGACGGGUGAGUAAUGUCUGGGAAGCUGCCUGAUGGAGGGGGAUAACUACUGGAAACGGUAGCUAAUACCGCAUAAUGUCGCAAGACCAAAGAGGGGGACCUUCGGGCCUCUUGCCAUCGGAUGUGCCCGGAUGGGAUUAGCUUGUUGGUGGGGUAACGGCUCACCAAGGCGACGAUCCCUAGCUGGUCUGAGAGGAUGACCAGCCACACUGGAACUGAGACACGGUCCAGACUCCUACGGGAGGCAGCAGUGGGGAAUAUUGCACAAUGGGCGCAAGCCUGAUGCAGCCAUGCCGCGUGUAUGAAGAAGGCCUUCGGGUUGUAAAGUACUUUCAGCGGGGAGGAAGGGAGUAAAGUUAAUACCUUUGCUCAUUGACGUUACCCGCAGAAGAAGCACCGGCUAACUCCGUGCCAGCAGCCGCGGUAAUACGGAGGGUGCAAGCGUUAAUCGGAAUUACUGGGCGUAAAGCGCACGCAGGCGGUUUGUUAAGUCAGAUGUGAAAUCCCCGGGCUCAACCUGGGAACUGCAUCUGAUACUGGCAAGCUUGAGUCUCGUAGAGGGGGGUAGAAUUCCAGGUGUAGCGGUGAAAUGCGUAGAGAUCUGGAGGAAUACCGGUGGCGAAGGCGGCCCCCUGGACGAAGACUGACGCUCAGGUGCGAAAGCGGUGGAGCAUGUGGUUUAAUUCGAUGCAACGCGAAGAACCUUACCUGGUCUUGACAUCCACGGAAGUUUUCAGAGAUGAGAAUGUGCCUUCGGGAACCGUGAGACAGGUGCUGCAUGGCUGUCGUCAGCUCGUGUUGUGAAAUGUUGGGUUAAGUCCCGCAACGAGCGCAACCCUUAUCCUUUGUUGCCAGCGGUCCGGCCGGGAACUCAAAGGAGACUGCCAGUGAUAAACUGGAGGAAGGUGGGGAUGACGUCAAGUCAUCGUGGCCCUUACGACCAGGGCUACACACGUGCUACAAUGGCGCAUACAAAGAGAAGCGACCUCGCGAGAGCAAGCGGACCUCAUAAAGUGCGUCGUAGUCCGGAUUGGAGUCUGCAACUCGACUCCAUGAAGUCGGAAUCGCUAGUAAUCGUGGAUCAGAAUGCCACGGUGAAUACGUUCCCGGGCCUUGUACACACCGCCCGUCACACCAUGGGAGUGGGUUGCAAAAGGAGUAGGUAGCUUAACCUUCGGGAGGGCGCUUACCACUUUGUGAUUCAUGACUGGGGUGAAGUCGUAACAAGGUAACCGUAGGGGAACCUGCGGUUG